AUACUGUGAUGUUCGCAUAGUUCAGCAGAUUGAAUUCUGAAGAAGUGUUCAGAAGGGGAACAUAACUCCUGACCAUGUUUUG
Molecule: small nucleolar RNA, 82 nt
Organism: Pipistrellus kuhlii (Kuhl's pipistrelle)
Lineage: Eukaryota; Metazoa; Chordata; Mammalia; Chiroptera; Vespertilionidae
Product: small nucleolar RNA SNORD77
Exons: 1
Source: RefSeq, a predicted model, not a curated record